GGACCCGCACAAGCGGUGGAGUAUGUGGCUUAAUUCGAUGCAACGCGAAGAACCUUACCUAGGCUUGACAUGCUUGUCGUACUCUCCCGAAAAGGAGAGGUCACUUCGGGCGGACAAUGCACAGGUGCUGCAUGGCCGUCGUCAGCUCGUGUCGUGAGAUGUUUGGUUAAGUCCAGCAACGAGCGCAACCCCUGUGAACUGUUGCCAGCGCGUAAAGGCGGGGACUCUGUUCAGACUGCCCAGAUCAACUGGGAGGAAGGUGGGGACGACGUCAGGUCAGUAUGGCCCUUACGCCUAGGGCUGCACACGUCCUACAAUGGUACGGACAAACGGACGCGAAACCGCGAGGUGGAGCAAAUCCUAAAAACCGUGCCUCAGUUCGGAUUGCAGGCUGCAACUCGCCUGCAUGAAGCCGGAAUCGCUAGUAA
RNAcentral lists this ribosomal RNA (428 nucleotides) under uncultured bacterium. RNAcentral describes it as "bacterial SSU rRNA". It matches the Rfam family "Bacterial small subunit ribosomal RNA", at positions 917 to 1341 of the family's 1533-position model. The record is from RNAcentral.